GUAGGGAAUAUUGGGCAAUGGUCGGAAGACUGACCCAGCCAUGCCGCGUGCAGGAAGACGGCCCUCUGGGUUGUAAACUGCUUUUAUCUGGGAAGAAAAAGGCCAUGCGUGGCAAAUUGCCGGUACCAGAUGAAUAAGCACCGGCUAACUCCGUGCCAGCAGCCGCGGUAAUACGGAGGGUGCGAGCGUUGUCCGGAAUUAUUGGGUUUAAAGGGUGCGUAGGCGGCUGAUUAAGUCAGCGGUGAAAGACUUCGGCUUAACCGGAGCAGUGCCGUUGAUACUGGUUGGCUUGAGUGUCGGAGGGGUACAUGGAAUUGAUGGUGUAGCGGUGAAAUGCAUAGAUACCAUCAGGAACACCGAUAGCGAAGGCAUUGUACUGGCCGACAACUGACGCUGAUGCACUAAAGUGUGGGGAUCGAACAGGAUUAGAUACCCGUGUAGUCC
This 444-nucleotide ribosomal RNA is filed under the name uncultured bacterium. Its description in RNAcentral is "partial 16S ribosomal RNA". It matches the Rfam family "Bacterial small subunit ribosomal RNA", at positions 354 to 796 of the family's 1533-position model. The record is from RNAcentral.